CGCUGGAAGACUGCAGUCGAACGAUCAUUCCAGGGUAGCAAUAUUCUGGAGUGAGAGUGGCGCAAGGGUGCGUAACACGUGGGCAAUCUGCCGCGAAGACCGGAAUAACCUGCUGAAAGGCGAGCUAAUACCGGAUGUGACGAUCGGGAGGCAUCUUCUGAUCUUCAAAGUUGGGGACCGUAAGGCCUGACACUUCGCGAUGAGCCCGCGGCCUAUCAGCUAGUUGGUGAGGUAACGGCUCACCAAGGCUAAGACGGGUAGCUGGUCUGAGAGGACGACCAGCCACACUGGAACUGAGACACGGUCCAGACACCUACGGGUGGCAGCAGUCGAGAAUUUUUCACAAUGGGCGCAAGCCUGAUGGAGCGACGCCGCGUGGGGGAUGAAUGGCUUCGGCCCGUAAACCCCUGUCAUUCGGGAUCAAUCCCUGCAACCUAACACGUUGCAGGUUGAUAGUACUGAAAGAGGAAGGGACGGCUAACUCUGUGCCAGCAGCCGCGGUAAUACAGAGGUCCCAAGCGUUGUUCGGAUUUACUGGGCGUAAAGGGUGCGUAGGUGGUGAGGUAAGUCGGAUGUGAAAUCUCCAGGCUCAACCUGGAAAUGGCAUUGGAAACUACCUUGCUCGAGGGUUGGAGGGGGGACUGGAAUACUUGGUGUAGCAGUGAAAUGCGUAGAUAUCAAGUGGAACACCAGUGGCGAAGGCGAGUCCCUGGACAACUCCUGACACUGAGGCACGAAAGCUAGGGGAGCAAACAGGAUUAGAUACCCUGGUAGUCCUAGCCGUAAACGGUGCUUGCUUGCUGUAAAAGGAAUCGACCCCUUUUGUGGCGUAGCCAACGCGAUAAGCAAG
RNAcentral lists this ribosomal RNA (850 nucleotides) under uncultured bacterium. Its description in RNAcentral is "bacterial SSU rRNA". It matches the Rfam family "Bacterial small subunit ribosomal RNA", at positions 45 to 868 of the family's 1533-position model. The record is from RNAcentral.